AUGAACUCUUUUACUGGACAGGUCCAUCGACUGAGUGUCAUAAUAACAGCCGGUCCACAUUGUGGACCGGGUUUCAUACGAAGGCAGAAAGGCCUAAACCAGCCCGACCCAACUCGAGGCCCGAACAACAGUGCCUUGCUGCAGAGUUAAGAUUGAGCCAGGCUCGCUUGAAGCGUUGGCUGCUUCAUUCGACGGGACCUCUUAGUGCCGUCGACGACUCACUCCGACGGCCCUGAUCAUCAGGCUCCAGCAGCUCACGCAAGUUGCCGGCGAAAAUUGCUCGACUUGCGAUUCCAAGGAAGAAACCCGCAUGCCUCGGUACAAAGAUGAGCCUCCCGCAGUCCGCGUGUACACGGUCUGUGAUGAAUCGAGAAACCUGAUCGUCAGGAAUGUUCCUGCGUUAGGAUGUGGAGAUGAGCUUUUGAAGCUCUUCGCCGCUUAUGGCGGCGUUGAAGAAUGUAAACCAAUGGAUGAAGAAGACUGUGAGCCGUACACUGAUGUUUAUUGGAUCAAGUUUUGUCUCGAUUGCAAUGCUAGGUUUGCGAAAAAAAAGUUGGAUGAGUAUGUCUUCUACGGGAAUAGACUGCAAGUUUCGUAUGCUCCCCAUUUUGAGAGCCUCUCUGAUACAAGAGAAAAGUUAGAAGCUAGGAGAAAGGAAGUUCUUGCUCGGUCGAACCCUGGAAGAUUCAAGGGUACUGCCACCUCUAGCAGUGUUGGUCUGGUUAGGUCUUCAGCUAAUGCAAGUUCCUUGCAGAAUAGUGCUGGCCGCCUACAGAUCUUCAAUCCCAAUAGUGCAUCACAGCUCAUUCCUCAUGCUGACGGUUCUCCGUAUACGAGGGUUUCCUCGGAGCUGGAUUAUUUUCAAUCCCAUUCGAUGAAUCAGACGGUGCAGUUGGUCAGAGACAAGCUCAAUAAGAUUGAAUCAAGUGGUGAGCAUCCACAAUCAGGACCUGCAGCGAAGAAAGCUCGCGUCGACAGCAGAAGGAGAAUUUGACUUUUAUCGGAACUAAGCAUUGCCCUAGGUUGAAGGAUGUCCUGAUCUUUCAGACAUUGCUUUUAUCUCACUGAUGCAGGACACGACUCUCUCCAUUUGAGCAAGUUUCAGGGCACUCAACUUUUGGGGCGAUACCUGUAUCACCCAUCUAUGAGGUUGACGAACACAUGAGCAUCAGCAAUAAAACCAGUAUCAGUGCAAUCCCUACUCAGCAUAAAUUUUCUUUAAAGUUGCCAAUCCAAUCGUGCAAAAGCAAAUUGAAUCUUCAGCUAAGGAAAAGCAUGCCAAUAUGGGCAUCCAUUUCAACAAUGGGGACAGACUGAUUGCUGGGGCGAACAAACUCAA
Molecule: RNA transcript, 1339 nt
Organism: Rhodamnia argentea
Lineage: Eukaryota; Viridiplantae; Streptophyta; Magnoliopsida; Myrtales; Myrtaceae
Gene name: RNA-binding protein 48-like
Exons: 10
Source: RefSeq, a predicted model, not a curated record